Molecule: ribosomal RNA, 1222 nt
Filed under: Enterobacter cloacae
Lineage: Bacteria; Pseudomonadati; Pseudomonadota; Gammaproteobacteria; Enterobacterales; Enterobacteriaceae
Description: bacterial SSU rRNA
Source: RNAcentral
CACGCUGGCGGCAGGCCUAACACAUGCAAGUCGAACGGUAGCACAGAGAGCUUGCUCUCGGGUGACGAGUGGCGGACGGGUGAGUAAUGUCUGGGAAACUGCCUGAUGGAGGGGGAUAACUACUGGAAACGGUAGCUAAUACCGCAUAAYGUCGCAAGACCAAAGAGGGGGACCUUCGGGCCUCUUGCCAUCAGAUGUGCCCAGAUGGGAUUAGCUAGUAGGUGGGGUAACGGCUCACCUAGGCGACGAUCCCUAGCUGGUCUGAGAGGAUGACCAGCCACACUGGAACUGAGACACGGUCCAGACUCCUACGGGAGGCAGCAGUGGGGAAUAUUGCACAAUGGGCGCAAGCCUGAUGCACCAUGCCGCGUGUAUGAAGAAGGCCUUCGGGUUGUAAAGUACUUUCAGCGGGGAGGAAGGUGUUGUGUAAUAACCGCAGCAAUUGACGUUACCCGCAGAAGAAGCACCGGCUAACUCCGUGCCAGCAGCCGCGGUGCAAUACGGAGGGUGCAAGCGUUAAUCGGAAUUACUGGGCGUAAAGCGCACGCAGGCGGUCUGUCAAGUCGGAUUAGUGAAAUCCCCGGGCUCAACCUGGGAACUGCAUUCGAAACUGGCAGGCUGGAGUCUUGUAGAGGGGGGUAGAAUUCCAGGUGUAGCGGUGAAAUGCGUAGAGAUCUGGAGGAAUACCGGUGGCGAAGGCGGCCCCCUGGACAAAGACUGACGCUCAGGUGCGAAAGCGUGGGGAGCAAACAGGAUUAGAUACCCUGGUAGUCCACGCCGUAAACGAUGUCGAUUUGGAGGUUGUGCCCUUGAGGCGUGGCUUCCGGAGCUAACGCGUUAAAUCGACCGCCUGGGGAGUACGGCCGCAAGGUUAAAACUCAAAUGAAUUGACGGGGGCCCGCACAAGCGGUGGAGCAUGUGGUUUAAUUCGAUGCAACGCGAAGAACCUUACCUGGUCUUGACAUCCACAGAACUUUCCAGAGAUGGAUUGGUGCCUUCGGGAACUGUGAGACAGGUGCUGCAUGGCUGUCGUCAGCUCGUGUUGUGAAAUGUUGGGUUAAGUCCCGCAACGAGCGCAACCCUUAUCCUUUGUUGCCAGCGGUCCGGCCGGGAACUCAAAGGAGACUGCCAGUGAUAAACUGGAGGAAGGUGGGGAUGACGUCAAGUCAUCAUGGCCCUUACGACCAGGGCUACACACGUGCUACAAUGGCGCAUACAAAGG